UAUAUUAUAGAGCGCAGUGGUUUUCUGUUUCAUGAUGAGUACAUAAAAAUUGAGGAAGUGGAUAACAACACAAGAUUACAAGAUGUUGAAUGGCAUGUUAGUAAGCAAGCAGAUUGAGAUAGUGACAUGUUUAACAGCAGUAGUGUUGAGCUUAAAGAAAAAUGCUUAGAAAAUUGAGAAAGCAGAGAGCAACACAAGAACUGAUUCUGAGUGGCAUGUUGGUAAGCAGGCAGAUUGACACGAGUGAUGUGUUAAAAAGCAGUGUUUUCACUUCAUAAAUUGGAAAAAUGGAUAACAACUGAAGAAAUACUAGAUUCUGUUGAUUUAUUUGCAUAUUCAACAGACCAACUAUCCUCAUUACCAGGCAGAGAAAUGAUGAAUAUUCAUUGAAUUCAGCUAGAACUGCAAAAACCAGCAAAACUGCAGAACUAACACCAAGUCAAAAACAACUUCUGAGAGGCAUAUAUAUCUUUCAGCGGGGCCAAGGGCGGUGGGUGGCGCGUAGGUUCCACGUGUGGCGAUCGCCUAUUAUAGGCGAUUGCUUCCGCUUGGAUAAUCCCGACUGUCUUUUUGCGCGAGACGCUGACGAAAUUUUCCAAAAAAGUUUCGUUAAGAUUUAUUGGUGUUUGAAAUACAGUACACUACAAAUUGUAGUACAACGAA
Long non-coding RNA from Anneissia japonica, 663 nucleotides. RefSeq lists it as uncharacterized. The record is from RefSeq and is a predicted model, not a curated record. NCBI's taxonomy places the organism in Eukaryota, Metazoa, Echinodermata, Crinoidea, Comatulida, Comatulidae. The transcript has 4 exons.